GACGAACGCUGGCGGCGUGCUUAACACAUGCAAGUCGAACGGAAAGGCCCUGCUUUUGUGGGGUGCUCGAGUGGCGAACGGGUGAGUAACACGUGAGUAACCUGCCCUUGACUUUGGGAUAACUUCAGGAAACUGGGGCUAAUACCGGAUAGGAGCUCCUGCUGCAUGGUGGGGGGUGGAAAUUUUCGGCGGUUGGGGAUGGACUCGCGGGUUAUCAGCUUGUUGGUGGGUUAGUGGCUUACCAAGGCUUUGACGGGUAGCCGGCCUGAGAGGGUGACCGGCCACAUUGGGACUGCGAUACGGCCCAGAAUCCUACGGGAGGCAGCAGUGGGGAAUAUUGCACAACGGGCGGAAGCCUGAUGCAGCAACGCCGCGUGCGGGAUGACGGCCUUCGGGUUGUAAACCGCUUUCGCCUGUGACGAAGCGUGAGUGACGGUAAUGGGUAAAGAAGCACCGGCUAACUACGUG
RNAcentral lists this ribosomal RNA (468 nucleotides) under uncultured bacterium. RNAcentral describes it as "partial 16S ribosomal RNA". It matches the Rfam family "Bacterial small subunit ribosomal RNA", at positions 28 to 507 of the family's 1533-position model. The record is from RNAcentral.